GAGCUGCAGUUAGAAGCUGGUCAGUCUUCUGGGUUAUCUACACRGAUCAUUAGUAGAUACUUAUCAAGGACUAGAAUUCGAACAUGAGGAAUACGAUAGGAAAUGACUGACAUGGAAUUUGUACUCUAAUUUGUGUUUUUUUUUUACCGUUGAUUAAUAGGUGUAUACAGAACGGAACAGAGUUAAAACAAAUAUUUUUCGAAAGCAGAGAAAAUGCACGAUGUCCGCAAGGACCGUUUCUCUACUAAGUCGAAAGAACACGGUGGUGUCAACGCAGGACCAUUUCUAACUCUCUCUUAUGGCCAAGGUAUCUAGAGUCAAGUCUCCUAGAAUGGCUACUCUAGCAAUGGAAGUGCUAGCAGAGAACCGGGAAGAGGCCAAAGACUUGGUGUAUU
Actinia tenebrosa (Australian red waratah sea anemone) is the source of this 395-nucleotide long non-coding RNA. Lineage: Eukaryota; Metazoa; Cnidaria; Anthozoa; Actiniaria; Actiniidae. The record is from RefSeq and is a predicted model, not a curated record.